RNAcentral lists this non-coding RNA (22 nucleotides) under Arabidopsis thaliana (thale cress). Lineage: Eukaryota; Viridiplantae; Streptophyta; Magnoliopsida; Brassicales; Brassicaceae. The record is from RNAcentral.
GACCAAGAAUGAUUAUGUGACA